UACGGAGGGAGCGAACGUUGUUCGGAUUUACUGGGCGUAAAGGGUGUGUAGGCGGUCUUGCAAGUCAGGGGUGAAAUCCCUCGGCUCAACCGAGGAACUGCCUUUGAGACUGCAGGACUUGAGGGCGUGAGAGGAGACUGGAAUUCCUAGUGUAGCGGUGAAAUGCAUAGAUAUUAGGAGGAACACCAGUGGCGAAGGCGGGUCUCUGGGCAUCUCCUGACGCUGAGGCGCGAAAGCGUGGGGAGCAAACGGG
RNAcentral lists this ribosomal RNA (253 nucleotides) under uncultured bacterium. Its description in RNAcentral is "partial 16S ribosomal RNA". It matches the Rfam family "Bacterial small subunit ribosomal RNA", at positions 524 to 776 of the family's 1533-position model. The record is from RNAcentral.